GGGGACGAUUUGGUUUCGACUGUUGUAGACCUGGGUACUGUGGCAUGUAGAGGUGAGAGCCCGCCUUUAAAAACUCUCAAAAAACAAACGCUAACAACGAAUUAGCUUUAGCAGCUUAAUUUAAGCUUCUACGAGAAACUGCUCUAACUUUCCGGUGGGCAGCGUAUCGACUCUAAACGGGAAGUUGCACAGGUCGUUCUCCGACUUGGAUUUGUGCAGAACCAAAGUUGGAUAGGAGUGAAUCACCUGUUUGUGGGUCAAGGCACUUCGAGAUUUAUUUACAAACUAAACAUGUAGAGGCUUUACUUAUGUGCAAUAGGACCCGGGUUCGACCCCCGGCGUCUCCAUUU
This 350-nucleotide transfer-messenger RNA is filed under the name Leptospiraceae. RNAcentral's name for it is "UBA2033 sp017996175 Standard tmRNA". It matches the Rfam family "transfer-messenger RNA". From Rfam's summary of the family: Bacterial tmRNA, also known as 10Sa RNA or SsrA, is named for its dual tRNA and mRNA-like properties. Its role is to liberate the mRNA from a stalled ribosome. RNAcentral also lists the same sequence under 1 other name. Lineage: Bacteria; Pseudomonadati; Spirochaetota; Leptospiria; Leptospirales. The record is from RNAcentral.